This is a long non-coding RNA of Trachemys scripta elegans, 4378 nucleotides long. RefSeq lists it as uncharacterized. The record is from RefSeq and is a predicted model, not a curated record. NCBI's taxonomy places the organism in Eukaryota, Metazoa, Chordata, Testudines, Emydidae. The transcript has 3 exons.
GCGGUGCAGGGGAGCGUGGCUGGGCUGCGGGUAACUGGGCGAUCGCUACUGCCAGGGCCACGCGUGCUGCCCGCGCCGUGUAAUUUCCGGAGCCAGCCUUCUCCGGACAGGCCCGAGCUCUUCCCGUCCACACAGAUCCGUCACGCUGCAGCUACUAGAGACAAGGAGCCGCUUCACUACCCAGCUCCCAUUCCUGCCCUGAGGCCUCUCUCGCCUGGGCACUGCGGGAAGCGGGAGAGUACGUGCUCCUGUCAUUCAAGACUAACAUCAGGAUCUUUGAAGACACCUAUGAGCUACAAAGACUUAGGGCCUCAUCCUGCCAAAAAUAUAUCCCUCAAUUCCCAUUGGCCUCAAUGGGAGUUCAGGGUGCUCAGUGCCCCUCAGGAUCAGGCCCUACAGAAGAGAAUUGGGAUGUAUCGCCAUGCAUCUUGAAAGAUGGGGAAACUGAGGCACACAGCAGAGAAGUGACUUGUGCACAGUCAUCCAGAAGAUCAAUGGCAGAGCCAGAAUUUGAACUCAAGUCUCCAAAGUCCCAAUCCAGCACCCUAUCUAGUGGACAACACCUUUGCAUAGGCUUUGGUAAUGUGGACCAAAUUGCCUAAGCACUUCCUAAAAAUAGAUCUUCAAUAACUCAUUUACUUUGUCUCUGCUAUAUGCCACAGGAGAAAGUUAUGGGCUGCUUUCUGCACUGAUAUUACUGUUUACUACAUUGGUUCAGAGUAAUUCCAUUGAAGUUAAUGGCAUGACACGUACAUAAAACCAGUGUAAGUGAGAUCAGAAUCACAUCCUUUGACAUCAACUGAUUUACACUAGUGUAACUGAAAGCAGCAUUUCACCUGCUGUAUAGAGCAGAUAUUUCUUUCAUCAUGAGCCAAGAGUUUAAAUCAUUAAUGUGUUUCUUUUAUAGGAUCCUCCUUCUCACAUUGACAAGUCAACUCACCCUCAUUGUCUGGGGCAAGAGCAGCCAAAGUUAAAAACCUGCAGCAGAUGAAGCUGAUUGGAGUGGGUCAGUGCAUACAUCUGCCUUUGACUCUCAGCUCACAUAGACAUACCUGCACUAGCUCUGCUCAAGCUAGCAACUAUAGACAGCAGUGGAUCUGCGGCAGCACAGGCAGCUACUCGGGCUAGCCGCCCUGAGUACAGUCCCAUCCUGCUCCCAGGUACAUGCUCAGGUAGCUAGCCCAAGCCACCCCCCAUGCCAUCACAGAUGCACUGCUAUUUUUAGGCACUAGCUCAAGCAGAGCUAGCGUGGGUACAUGUACACAAACUGGGACUCAGACUUCCCAGCUCAUAUGUAGAGGUAUACAGUCUGAGCAUGUUACACCUGUGCUCCGCACUAUAUUAAUUACCCCAUCUGUUUCUAUGUCUAGUUCAAGCUGUUGUUUUUAAUCUGUUAACACCUAUGUGGUUUGGGACUUAGCUACUUUAGAAACCAUUUCUUUUCUCAUGUCCCACUGUGCAAAAUUCUCCUUUGUGCCCAGAGCCAACAGAAGCCUUAUGCACAUCUUAUGCCCCCCUCAAAAUGGAACUCAAGGAGUGCUUUGGCCUUGUCUGUCCCUCUACACAGGGGAGAAUUCCACCCCAUUGUGAGAGCUGAGAUCAGCAGAGAUGCUUUUGCUGGCAGGGCCAGGAUGGUGCACCCAUUCUCAAUGGAGGCUCCCUGACAGUGAAACUUAGUCCAUCAGACCUCAGGUCAGUUUGCCUUCAUAGCAUGGUGCAAAACUCAUCUUUAUGGCCCUACCUUUGCCAGAUGGCUCUAAACCAAAGCUCUGUCUUUUAUUUUUCUCUUUCUCAGAUUUCUUUCCCAUUAGAUGGAUAGGUAACAGGGACGGGGUUAACAUUGCUGCCCUUUGUGGGCAUUUAUAGACUGAUGUUUUCUGUUAUGUGUGAUGUGCUCAGAUACCACAUCAAUUGACAUAAUAAAAUAACAAUAAAAUAAUUAUAAUAAUACAGGGGAGAGAGAGGAAAUACUGAACAGCAGCUUUCCAACCAAGUGGGAGCUAAAAAUAGAGCAUGAUAAUAAAAAUUAAAGGAAAUUUUUGCUGGCACACACACAUCAGAAUAAACCUGGCUUAGGUAAUAACUGAGAUUAAACAGACUGUACCUCAUCUUUUCCUUUGCAUCUUCAAAACUUUCAGAAACGAAGUAGACUUCCUGGAAAGUUGUGAUGAUGCAUUCUUGCUUGCAGGUCACCUUAGGAUCAAAGGACUUGACUUUGGCAUUGCCAGAGAGAGCAUGCUGGAUAAUAGACAAAGCAAUGAAGCAAAGAUAUUAACAUUAGCACAUGUCAGAGUAGUAUCAGCACCACAAGAGCACACAGGAAAAAACAGAGGAUAGAAACAGUGUGUUGAAGAGGACAAAAUGAUGCCAUAUAUGAAAUCUCUGUAGCAUAUCAUCUUUUAAGAGUUGUGUCUGCAGAUUGGUACCAGCUAACCCUUAGAAAACUGGCUAUCCUUAAAGAGCCAAAUUCUGCCCCCCUUACCUACAGUGAGCAGUGUCUUGUAAUGUGAGCAAGUCAACAUACUUGAACUCUGAAGCCAAUAUGAUUGCACAUGUAGCAGGAGGCUACUCAAUGAGAACAAUAAUAUCAGAAUCUGGUCUGACAAGCAGAGCUUUAUGCUAAAAACACAUCUAUUUAGGGCUUGAUUCUAAGAAAUGCAGGGCACCGUCAACUCCAUCUAAAACCACUUGGGAGCAACAGAGCUCAGCACACACCAAAAGACAAUUUCCAAUUAUUAGUUCUAUUUUUUUCGCUUAACCAGAAUCAUCCCUAGAGGUCUCUGGGAGCCAGAUUUUUAAAGGUAUUUAGGUGCCAAACUCCCACUGAAAUCAAUACCUUUAAAUAUCUUUUAAAAUCUAGCUCUAGGAGCUUCCAGAAUAAAUGCUACCCAAAGAUAUGCUGCUUCAGUUCACAGUUUCUAAAUGGGCCAUUGGCCAUAGCUACUCAGUCCACCCAAUAUUUUGAACCAACUACCACAAAAAUCAGGUGAGAAAGAAAUAGGGCAAAUAAAGGGAGGAUGUUUUCCUCUUCUCACCUUGAGCUCACUGAUGGAAGAAAGUAAACCAGCCCCAUAGACUCGUAGCUGUCCCUCUUGCUUACAUAAACCAAAUUCCACGGUGAAGAAGUAGCACUGAUACAGAAGAAAAACAAAAAAGAAUUAAAAUGGAGUUGGGGGAAACUGUCUUCAACACAAAUGCAACUAAUGGUGCAGCAGAUUUUGUAAGUCAAGCAAACUAGACCAAGGGUUAUCAAGCUGGGUGUAACAACCCCCUAAUAGGGUCUUGAGCAAAUGUCAGAGGGUCACAAUUACCCUGCUUUUCCCAUUUUGCUAAGUGGAAAGGGGCCCAGAAUGAGAAAGGUUAGGAACCACUGUGCUGGUUUACUUUACUAAAACAAGUAAGUUUACUGCUACUAUUCCACACCCUAGGCUCAUCUUUAUCACAGAGACUUUUGAUCUCAACAGAAGCACUGAGUUCUAGUCCUGCCACACAAAUACACUGAACCAUCCAGUUGAAAUUGUUAUGAGGCAGCUUAACAGAAGCACUGGAAGUGAUUGAAUUUUUUUAAAACUGAUAAAUAAUUAGAUCAGCCACAGGGUCAUGAACAAGAGUCAAGCUCCCUUCUGUUUUCUCUUUAGUUCUGUUGUCUGAAGGAAUUAAUGAUGUUUAUUUCAGUUUGCUGGCCUUGGAGAUUUGUGUAGGUAUAUUUGGGGGAGGGGAGAGUUCAGAAGUGCUUAGCAGUAUUGGUUUGAUUCUGCUCCUAUAGAAGGCAAUGGGAGCAAAGAUAGGACAGCGUUGAGUGCUUUUGAAAAUCCCUCCCAUUGUUUCUGUUUAUUAUAAUUCUUUUUUCCCCCUCUUAAAAUUUAUUUCUUUCAAAACAUCCAGAAGACUUUGGACAUGGGACACCCACAAUAUAUAUAUAUAUUUAAUUUGUUGAGGGAAAAACCCUCUCACUACUAAAUUGUAAAAAUACACAAUCAAUUGCAUCCUAUGAUAACUAUAUUUCCUUUGGGUUAAUUCUAAAGGAUAAAGAAACAGAUUAUUGUGGGAAUUCAUCCCAGAGGUAAAAGGGCUUGAAUUUAGAAGAAACAGACCAUUGGUUCUCAAUCUGGAAGUUAUGAUUCCCAGAGACUCUUAUUUUAUGGCUAGAUUGAGAAUAUCAUUCACCUCCUAUCACUUCUGUUCUAUCAUGGAGUUACAGAACAGAAAAAGUUUAGAACCAGUGAAACAGACAAUAUAGUGAAUGAUUUGCUUCUGCUGAUAGUGAAUGAUAAAUCUCCCAAUUACUUCAGGGGGAGCAGGAUCAGCCCUGUAAAAUGCUGAGAGCAAUGCAAGUGGGAUUAUCACCGCCACAGAUUGAGACACUCACUGUUGCCAG